This 1347-nucleotide long non-coding RNA is filed under the name Nicotiana benthamiana. RNAcentral describes it as "long non-coding RNA (NBEN_LNC027245)". Lineage: Eukaryota; Viridiplantae; Streptophyta; Magnoliopsida; Solanales; Solanaceae. The record is from RNAcentral.
GGUUCCUUAAUUUUCUUUCUUCCCCAUAAAGGAAAUAGGGUAAUUAGGUGGUAUACUAUAUGUAUAUGUAUUUUAGAACUCCUUCUAAUCUCAGCGCUGACCUCGACAAUAAGCGGCCUCUUAUCAUCUUGAUUCUAGAAGAUACUCAAGUUUUCUCUACACCCAUAUGGGUGGCGAGCUAUCUUCCAUGCUUAGUCAUCAAAGAGGAUCAAGCAAAAGUGGACGCAGUGAACGUUGGCUGUUUGUUCAACGAGGCCCAUGAUGCUCUGAAUCGGGUAAGUUCAAAGGCCACUAUCUUUUUAUGAUUUUGAAUUGUAGAUAUCUCUAACACUUCCUUCCUUCCUUAUUGGCUCCGAUGAUGUAUCAUGAGGCCUUUCUCCGAAUCCGAGAGGAACGCAAGGUCGAAGUCCAGGUUCUUUCUGAGAAAUGAAAUACUUAAAAGAUUCUCAGUGAGAAGCUUCAUGUAGACCUAGUAAGGCUCGAAAUGCGCAUGAAGAGAUGAUCAAGAAGGUAUUCCGAGUUCUUUAUGAUAGUGAGGGUGAGUAAAAAAUAACAACAAACAAUCCCAUUCUGGAGGUUCAACCAAGGCUUGAAUAAAUCAAGGGCCUCCAAGAGCAAAUAGAUAAAGUGCGAGCCGAAGCCGAACAUCAAAGGUUGUAUGAAUAUUUUGGCUCCACAAAAAGAAACCGUUCAAGCAGAGCUUGAUUCGGCCAAGUCACAACUUCGAUAUGCAAGAGAGAAUGCCCCGAUUCAAGCGAAUACGUUUGAGGAGCUCGAGUCCAAUUUAGCUAGUUUGACUAAAGAGGUUGAUCUUAAUAAACGUCAAUACCACACAAGAGGGGGGGUGAUUUGUGUGGUACCUAAUUUUCGCGUUAGAAGAACCUAGUUCUUCUAAGUGUUCUAAAUACAACAGUUCGUGGAAUAAUAAGAACUGAAAGUAAAGUGCACAGAUAUUUUGACGUGGAAAACACCUGGCUCAAAAGGUGAAAAAACCACGACCUACUACUUAGUAGGAGUUUCCCAAACUCCACUAAAAAUCAACGAGCCAAACAAUAUUUACAAAAACUCUUUGUAAACCUAAGGAUUAAACUCUAAUCCCUGUGUGGCACACAGCCUCAGCUGCUACGACACUAUCAAGUUAACUAAUGAGCCAAAACAACAUUUACAAAGACUCUUUGUAAACCUAAGGAUUAAACUCUAAUCCCAAUGUGGCACACAGCCUCAGCUGUUGUGACACUAUCAAGUUAACUCUAACUUGAUGACAUAAAGAACCUAAUACAAUUGCCUCUAAUAAAGCAGAAAGGUACAAUUUGAAAACUUACUAUAAUUGAACAAAACAAACAGAUG